CCCCUCUGGGCUCCGGGUCCGUGGCUACUCACACAGAUUGGAUGGAGACUGGGAAGAUAAGGUGAUUCCAGACUGUGGAGGACCUUGAAUGUCAGGCCAAGAAAUCUAAACUUUACACGUUACUCCAGAAGCCCUGGUUCCCUGUAACAGUAAAGACCGAAGCAUCGGAUCCUCAUUCAGUGGCACUGAGGAGAGGAGGAGAGAGGGAAGAAGAGGAGGAGCAGCAGCAGGAAGAGCCACGUUGGGUAUGGCAAGUCAGCUGUUCGAGGAGCUGCUUUGGGAGGAUGGACGGAAUGGACCCCUGACAGAUGGCAUUGAACUGUCUUUCUUGGUGUGACCAGGUA
Non-coding RNA from Phascolarctos cinereus (koala), 344 nucleotides. Lineage: Eukaryota; Metazoa; Chordata; Mammalia; Diprotodontia; Phascolarctidae. The record is from RefSeq and is a predicted model, not a curated record.